GCAAGCGUUGUUCGGAAUUACUGGGCGUAAAGGGCUCGUAGGUGGCUCGCUAAGUCAGACGUGAAAUCCCUCAGCUUAACUGGGGAACUGCGUCUGAGACUGGCAAGCUUGAGUGCAGGAGAGGAACGCGGAAUUCCAGGUGUAGCGGUGAAAUGCGUAGAUAUCUGGAGGAACACCGGUGGCGAAGGCGGCGUUCUGGACUGCAACUGACACUGAGGAACGAAAGCCAGGGGAGCAAACGGG
This 243-nucleotide ribosomal RNA is filed under the name uncultured bacterium. RNAcentral describes it as "partial 16S ribosomal RNA". It matches the Rfam family "Bacterial small subunit ribosomal RNA", at positions 534 to 776 of the family's 1533-position model. The record is from RNAcentral.